Molecule: long non-coding RNA, 867 nt
Organism: Amphiprion ocellaris (clown anemonefish)
Lineage: Eukaryota; Metazoa; Chordata; Actinopteri; Pomacentridae
Source: Ensembl
CUCCUCUCUGUCAUUUCCACAGGUGCUUGGUGAAGUACAGAACACAGACCGCCUUCGUGUUUAUGUAACACCAAAACACUGAAUGGGAUGUAAAUACUGUCCAUGUAGGUUUCCCAGAGACUAUGGGUUGAGGAGGAAGUGGAAGUUUGUCGGCUUAGACCUGGUGUCAUUCCAUCAGUGUUAAACUUCCCGGCUCAUCUUGGAAGAGUACGUGCCAGAAAGACCACGACCAAGCAGCCUUGAGAUCUUAGACAGCGUCUCCCUGAGGUCCCUCUCUAUCUCCCCACACAUCCACCAACCACUGGAACACAUCUCCAAAGUUCUGCUGGACCAGCUCAGCUUCCCCUCAGAAGAAGUGCUGCCACCUGCCAGAUGAAGGAGCCUUUUGAGAGGCAGCUGGCAUCGUGAUUGGACUGUACUUUGGUCUGUUCCAGUCCAGCUUCAGCUCCAGAGACGGCAGGCGGGACGAGUCAACGGAGGCCUGGUGGACGAAGGCAUGCAGCUGAGUACAAUCCAGAAAACAACAGAGGAGGAGUGCAGGGCCAGAACAAACAGAGUAGCAUCGUAUGUCUCUUAGAAAACAUCAUAGUAUAGCCUUUGGGAUGAAAAAACGCCAUCAUAUACAUUGUAUAUUGUACAUAUAACAAGUCAAAGGAAAGAGACAUACAUUGUAGAAUUGUAGUAAUUGUGGGCUGACUGAUUUACUGAUUAUCAGUAUUUUAUUUUUUACUGAUUUAUGGUAAUAAAUACAUUUAAAAAUGGUGCUACUUCGGCUCUGAACCUUUAUCUACCUGUGGUCACUCUGUCUUCUGGAGUGAUUUGAUUGGUUAUACGUCACGAAUAAAACUCCUUUAACUUAACAUCUGG